Molecule: unclassified non-coding RNA, 393 nt
Filed under: soil metagenome
Description: partial contains 5.8S ribosomal RNA, internal transcribed spacer 2, and large subunit ribosomal RNA
Rfam family: 5.8S ribosomal RNA (bases 1-120)
Source: RNAcentral
GAUGAAGAACGCAGCGAAAUGCGAUACGUAAUGUGAAUUGCAGAAUUCAGUGAAUCAUCGAAUCUUUGAACGCACCUUGCGCUCCUUGGUAUUCCGAGGAGCAUGCCUGUUUGAGUGUCAUUAAAUUCUCAACCUCACCUGGUUUCUGACUUGUGUGAUGGCUUGGAUUUGGGAGUUGUGCAGGCUGUAGUUAUCUGCGGCUCUGCUCUCCUUAAAUGUAUUAGCAGGUCUUUUACCUCUAUCCCAACAGUGUGAUAAUCUAUCUACGCUGCUGGUUUGGAGACCCACUUGUGGGGGACUGGCUUCUAAUCGUCUGCAAAGACAACUUGACAUUCUUGACCUCAAAUCAGGUAGGACUACCCGCUGAACUUAAGCAUAUCAAUAAGCGGAGGA